UGAGAGACCACUGUGAGGUAGAAAUGGUGUUAAAGCAACUCUUAAUCUGGAAUACAUCUUUUAAAAGGAUGUGAUAAAAAUAAGGAGAGUGGACACCAGAAAGAGGAUCUCUACAAGAAGACAGCCUGCUGGACACUGCGUGAACAGUACUUAGACCAGAAAACUUCAUCAGAAGAUGUCCAGAAUGCCAGACAGCUGUAUGAGAAGAGACUUUUGAAGCCUUAAAUGGACAAUUUGUCAUUACUUUUGGGUCCGUGUAUCUGUACUUACUAAGGGGACUGCCCCCUUUUGAUUUGUCAAUGUAUCAAUCAAUUUUUCUGUUCCUUCUGCCAUAUUGUUAUAAGUCCCCAAAAUCCCUUGAUGAAAUGUUGCCCAGCAGCACAGCCCCAGAUGGAACCAUUACUAAGGCAUUACAAGGUAUAACCACUUUAGCUGAGGAGUUGGCAGAGAACUCUGGGAUAGAUAAUUAAUUAAAGGGAUGGUUAGAAUCAUGGUUUGGCAAAUGGAAGGGAAUGGCAGUUAAUAGCUGGGAUAUUAAUAGCUGUAGGCUGUUGCAUAAUACCUUGUGAAGAGACUGAGGUGAACCCUGAUUAUGAUCAAAACUAGAAUACAUAAUGAAUUAAGAUUCAGAUGCAACAGAGUAAAAGGAAAUAAAAAGGUGGGAUUGUGGGAUAUAUAGAUGUUGCUUCUGCAUAUCACUCAAUCAGAGGUUGGAGUCAGAGAAUUAAUUUUUUUUUAUUAUUAUUUCCACAAAAAGACAAGUGGAAACCUUAAGGAAUGCAGUCUGGGGGCUGAACAAAGGGGUUUAUAUUAGAAUAAGAAAACACUCUUGGUGGUGAAUAGACUAACUGUGGAAAACCAGUUCUGAGGUUAACAUAAAAAGGGGUGUUCCCAAGUGAGGGUCAGGGUCUCCAAAUUGUGGGGAGUGGGAGAUGUAAUUAGGGGAGGAGACUCACGUGCAGAAAUUAGGCACUUUGGAUAGGUUGUAACCUCUAUAGUACCCAUCGAAUAGGGAAACAGGGGAAGGAAAUUUGAAUGGGGAAUAGGGAAUAAAAAGGUGUGCAUUUGUGGCUAUACUCCAGGCCUUCCCAAGUCGUUAAUAAAGCUUCUUCCUGAUUCAA
Molecule: long non-coding RNA, 1121 nt
Organism: Vombatus ursinus (common wombat)
Lineage: Eukaryota; Metazoa; Chordata; Mammalia; Diprotodontia; Vombatidae
Exons: 2
Source: RefSeq, a predicted model, not a curated record